RNAcentral lists this ribosomal RNA (434 nucleotides) under uncultured bacterium. Its description in RNAcentral is "partial 16S ribosomal RNA". It matches the Rfam family "Bacterial small subunit ribosomal RNA", at positions 29 to 507 of the family's 1533-position model. The record is from RNAcentral.
AGCGAACGCUGGCGGCAGGCCUAACACAUGCAAGUCGAACGAACCUUUCGGGGUUCGUGGCGGACGGGUGAGUAACACGUGGGAACGUGCCUUUAGGUUCGGAAUAACUCAGGGAAACUUGUGCUAAUACCGAAUGUGCCCUUCGGGGGAAAGAUUGAUCGCCGUUAGAGGGGCCCGCGUCUGAUUAGCUAGUGGGUUGAGGUAAUGGCCCACCAAGGCGACGAUCAGUAGCUGGUCGGAGAGGAUGAUCAGCCACUUGGGGACUGAGACACGGCCCAAACUCCUGCGGGAGGCAGCAGUGGGGAAUCUUGCGCAAUGGGCGAAAGCCUGACGCAGCCAUGCCGCGUGAAUGAUGAAGGUCUGAGGAUUGUAAAAUUCUUUCACCGGGGACGAUAAUGACGGUACCCGGAGAAGAAGCCCCGGCUAACUUCGUG